AAUCCAGACGACAGGUUGGAAGGCCUUGUCUUCAAAUUUGAAGAUUGGCACGCCAUAAAAAACCUUUUUGAGAUCUAUCAUCGGAUCUUUUACAAAGAGGGCUCGGCGGGGGAACAUGGGACACUCCAGGCCAAUAUGAAUAAGCUGAGAUGCAGCAAUGCGAAACGUGGACCACAUGCUGCUUUCAAUGCAUGCAAAGAGUUUGUGAAAAAGGAC
This is a long non-coding RNA of Engraulis encrasicolus (European anchovy), 216 nucleotides long. RefSeq lists it as uncharacterized. The transcript is spliced from 3 exons. NCBI's taxonomy places the organism in Eukaryota, Metazoa, Chordata, Actinopteri, Clupeiformes, Engraulidae. The record is from RefSeq and is a predicted model, not a curated record.